This 72-nucleotide transfer RNA is filed under the name Amphidinium carterae. Its description in RNAcentral is "tRNA-Pro". It matches the Rfam family "tRNA". Rfam says of the family: Transfer RNA (tRNA) molecules are approximately 80 nucleotides in length. Their secondary structure includes four short double-helical elements and three loops (D, anti-codon, and T loops). The record is from RNAcentral. Lineage: Eukaryota; Dinophyceae; Amphidiniales; Amphidiniaceae. RNAcentral also lists the same sequence under 1 other name.
GGCUGUUUGGUCUAGUGGUAUGAUUCUCGCUUCGGGUGCGAGAGGUCCUGGGUUCAAUUCCCAGAACAGCCC